This 21-nucleotide non-coding RNA is filed under the name Caenorhabditis elegans. The record is from RNAcentral. Lineage: Eukaryota; Metazoa; Nematoda; Chromadorea; Rhabditida; Rhabditidae.
UUUGACUUUAUUGAAGAUUCU